Long non-coding RNA from Lolium rigidum, 161 nucleotides. RefSeq lists it as uncharacterized. The record is from RefSeq and is a predicted model, not a curated record. The transcript has 3 exons. Lineage: Eukaryota; Viridiplantae; Streptophyta; Magnoliopsida; Poales; Poaceae.
GAGAAGCAUGAUGAAAAUAGAUUUUGUUAUGAUGGUCUUACUACGCCGAGAUGCUUGCUCAGAGCUCAUGGAUCACGCACGAAGAAAUGAGGAGGAUUCUGUUGCCCAAAUGUGGUCCGAGUGGGGUGUUAUGAUGGGAUGAUGCUCUUACAGUAUUUUGG